GUGAGGAUAGGCUAUGGUUKWACUCUUAUKGGAGAAAGCCSUUBGAGGWAGUGACGDCUAUAUGSAUAGCACGGCUAACUCGUGCCAGCAGCCGCGGUAAUACGGAGGGUGCAAGCGUUAUCCGGAUUUAUUGGGUUUAAAGGGUGCGUAGGCGGUUUAUUAAGUCAGUGGUGAAAGACUGGUCGCUCAACGAUUGCAGUGCCAUUGAUACUGGUAGACUUGAGUUGGAUUGAGGUAGCUCGGAAUGGAUAGUGUAGCGGUGGAAAUGCAUAGAUAUUAUCCAGAACACCAAUUGG
This 296-nucleotide ribosomal RNA is filed under the name uncultured Sphingobacterium sp. RNAcentral describes it as "partial 16S ribosomal RNA". It matches the Rfam family "Bacterial small subunit ribosomal RNA", at positions 405 to 716 of the family's 1533-position model. Lineage: Bacteria; Pseudomonadati; Bacteroidota; Sphingobacteriia; Sphingobacteriales; Sphingobacteriaceae. The record is from RNAcentral.